This 382-nucleotide ribosomal RNA is filed under the name Salmonella enterica. RNAcentral describes it as "partial 23S ribosomal RNA". It matches the Rfam family "Bacterial large subunit ribosomal RNA", at positions 171 to 591 of the family's 2925-position model. Lineage: Bacteria; Pseudomonadati; Pseudomonadota; Gammaproteobacteria; Enterobacterales; Enterobacteriaceae. RNAcentral also lists the same sequence under 1 other name. The record is from RNAcentral.
UUAAUGAGGCGAACCGGGGGAACUGAAACAUCUAAGUACCCCGAGGAAAAGAAAUCAACCGAGAUUCCCCCAGUAGCGGCGAGCGAACGGGGAGGAGCCCAGAGCCUGAAUCAGCAUGUGUGUUAGUGGAAGCGUCUGGAAAGGCGCGCGAUACAGGGUGACAGCCCCGUACACAAAAGCGCAUGUGCUGUGAGCUCGAUGAGUAGGGCGGGACACGUGGUAUCCUGUCUGAAUAUGGGGGGACCAUCCUCCAAGGCUAAAUACUCCUGACUGACCGAUAGUGAACCAGUACCGUGAGGGAAAGGCGAAAAGAACCCCGGCGAGGGGAGUGAAAAAGAACCUGAAACCGUGUACGUACAAGCAGUGGGAGCACCCUUCGGGG